This 253-nucleotide ribosomal RNA is filed under the name uncultured bacterium. RNAcentral describes it as "partial 16S ribosomal RNA". It matches the Rfam family "Bacterial small subunit ribosomal RNA", at positions 524 to 776 of the family's 1533-position model. The record is from RNAcentral.
UACGGAGGGGCUAGCGUUGUUCGGAAUUACUGGGCGUAAAGCGCGCGUAGGCGGCUUUGUAAGUUAGAGGUGAAAGCCCGGAGACUCAACUCCGGAAUUGCCUUUAAGACUGCAUCGCUAGAAUCAUGGAGAGGUGAGUGGAAUUCCGAGUGUAGAGGUGAAAUUCGUAGAUAUUCGGAAAGAACACCAGUGGCGAAGGCGACUCACUGGACAUGUAUUGACGCUGAGGUGCGAAAGCGUGGGAGCAACAGGG